RNAcentral lists this ribosomal RNA (301 nucleotides) under uncultured bacterium. Its description in RNAcentral is "partial 16S ribosomal RNA". It matches the Rfam family "Bacterial small subunit ribosomal RNA", at positions 509 to 807 of the family's 1533-position model. The record is from RNAcentral.
CAGCAGCCACGGUAAUACGACGGGUGCAAGCGUUACUCGGAAUUACUGGGCGUAAAGCGUGCGUAGGUGGUGGUUUAAGUCCGUUGUGAAAGCCCUGGGCUCAACCUGGGAAUUGCAGUGGAUACUGGGUCACUAGAGUGUGGUAGAGGAUAGUGGAAUUUCCGGUGUAGCAGUGAAAUGCGUAGAGAUCGGAAGGAACAUCUGUGGCGAAGGCGACUAUCUGGGCCAACACUGACACUGAGGCACGAAAGCGUGGGGAGCAAACAGGAUUAGAUACCCCAGUAGUCCCUGUCUCUUAUAC